Molecule: ribosomal RNA, 349 nt
Filed under: Pseudarthrobacter phenanthrenivorans
Lineage: Bacteria; Bacillati; Actinomycetota; Actinomycetes; Micrococcales; Micrococcaceae
Description: bacterial SSU rRNA
Rfam family: Bacterial small subunit ribosomal RNA
Source: RNAcentral
UGGCGAACGGGUGAGUAACACGUGAGUAACCUGCCCUUAACUCUGGGAUAAGCCUGGGAAACUGGGUCUAAUACCGGAUAUGACCUUCCAUCGCAUGGUGGUUGGUGGAAAGCUUUUUGUGGUUUUGGAUGGACUCGCGGCCUAUCAGCUUGUUGGUGAGGUAAUGGCUUACCAAGGCGACGACGGGUAGCCGGCCUGAGAGGGUGACCGGCCACACUGGGACUGAGACACGGCCCAGACUCCUACGGGAGGCAGCAGUGGGGAAUAUUGCACAAUGGGCGCAAGCCUGAUGCAGCGACGCCGCGUGAGGGAUGACGGCCUUCGGGUUGUAAACCUCUUUCAGUAGGGA